This 339-nucleotide unclassified non-coding RNA is filed under the name soil metagenome. RNAcentral describes it as "partial contains 5.8S ribosomal RNA, internal transcribed spacer 2, and large subunit ribosomal RNA". The stretch from base 1 to 120 matches the Rfam family "5.8S ribosomal RNA", at positions 35 to 154 of the family's 154-position model. The record is from RNAcentral.
GAUGAAGAACGUAGCGAAAUGCGAUAACUAAUGUGAAUUGCAGAAUUCAGUGAAUCAUCGAGUCUUUGAACGCACAUUGCGCCCCCUGGUAUUCCGGGGGGCAUGCCUGUCCGAGCGUCAUUGCUGCCCUCAAGCACGGCUUGUGUGUUGGGCUCCGUCCCCCCGGGGACGGGCCCGAAAGGCAGCGGCGGCACCGAGUCCGGUCCUCGAGCGUAUGGGGCUUUGUCACCCGCUCUGCAGGCCCGGCCGGCGCCAGCCGACAACCCAUCAUCCUUUUCAGGUUGACCUCGGAUCAGGUAGGGAUACCCGCUGAACUUAAGCAUAUCAAUAAGCGGAGGA